This 4352-nucleotide long non-coding RNA is filed under the name Phoenix dactylifera (date palm). RNAcentral's name for it is "long non-coding RNA (PDAC_LNC001187)". The record is from RNAcentral. Lineage: Eukaryota; Viridiplantae; Streptophyta; Magnoliopsida; Arecales; Arecaceae.
CCACACUUCAAGACAAGCAGUUCCUCUCAAGCAAAGUCAAAAAGAUAGUAGAAUCGGCAAGCAAACCAGAGUAUAAUGGACCUACAAUAAAGUUUUACCAUGAAACUGUUAACCCGAGUUACAAAAUCACCUCAACGCUUGAUGCUUUAGUAGCUCACAUAUCUCGCUCCAAAAACUACCGAGUUUCAAGGCUCGAUUCUUAUCCAUGGGUGGGUUCUUUUUGAAACCUUAGCAUGCCUUUACUUCUUUUGUCAUGCAUGGCUCGGAGCCUUUGUUGUGGCCAUCCAAGUUCAGUUUUCCCUGAACCCCCAAGGGGUUGCCAGACUGCACAAGAUAAGCAAUGUGCAAUUGAGGAAGAGGUUGAAGCAUAAUUUACUCCAAUUUUAGCUAUAGAAUUUAGACUAAAAAAGUAUUCAUUAUAGAAGAAGCUAAAAGUAAAAGAUACUUCGUGAUUUGGACUCAUGGAGGACUAAUUAACUUUGUCCCUUAAGCAAGAUAUGUUAAUUAAGCAAGAGACAAUCCUAUAUAGAUUUAACAAUAACUAUAAAAACUUAUAAGGAAAAGAUAAUAUAAAUUCUUUUCUCAAAAGCUCUUUCACAUCCUUCUCAAAAGAUAAUAUGUUUAUCUUUAUUCCUCUACAAAUCACAACAAUUCUUGGGAAAGCUCUUUUAGAAUAUUUAUGUCGAUACACAUAUUCUUAACUUAUACAAGAAUGAACAAUUUUAAUGGAGAAAAACUCUGAUCAAAUUAAAAGCGAAUUUUCAAUCUGAUUUUUAUCAAGAAGAGCAUAGGAAUUAUUUUUCAAUAAUUUUCAAGUAUGAAUUAAAAAAAAGAAAGUAUAAAGAAUUUAUCUAAUUAUCUACGACCUAAUUUUAUUUAUUAUCAUUAAAAUUCGCUUGUAUUCAAAAGGUACGUCUAAUACGAUAAGCAGAUCUACUAGUCAGGCAUGUGAAGACCUGCAUUUUUCCCCCUCUUUCUUCUUCACCACCUUUUCUUCUUUGCUCCAAUGGUGUGGUGACCACGUGCCACCUCAAUCGCCUUUAGUUGCUAAUCUACUCUUUAUUCUUCCCAAAUCUCAAUGCCCCAACUCAUUAUCGAAAGGCUCCAGGUCUAAACAUCCAACCCCAGCCCCCUACCAUACAUAAAGUUUUUGUGUUACAAACUGUCAUGUGAUGUGCCAAACUUCCAUCUUAAAAAAAUACAUGGGCAACAUAUGGAGAUGCUAUCCCUAACUAGCUAUUGGACCAUGCAUGCAGAGGAUUUGGACUUGGAAUCAGAGAUUUGAUGAUGGAUGAUACGCCUUUGCAUUGUUAAUCUAAUUGGGUCUCGAUCAAGGAAAGGUUAAGAAACUUAGACCCUUUUAACUGUCUUUUUUUUGAUAAAAACGGAUAUAUUAAACCAAUUUAGAAUAAAUACAUUCGCGAGAUCAGAAAAUAAAAUCACCGCCAACCACAAUGUAGAUCAUGUGUGAUUAGCAACAUAUGACGCUAUCUAAUCUGCUGCAUUCUGUGCAUAUAUUUUACUUCAAAAGGCCUACGAGCUGCUACCAUUCUCUAACAAUUCUGAAAUAGUCGAACCAGCUGAAAGCCACCUAAUAACUGCAUUGAAGUCCUCUUCCAAGAUAAUAUGUGAAGCCUUCAAAAUUUUUGUGACAUACGAUAUACCUUCUUAUGCAGCAUGCCAUGCCACCAUUGGAAUAGUAGUGUCCAACAAUGUAACACCUAACGCACCACUCGCACUUCUAAUAAUAAAACUUACUCCACCCAAAUCAUUACUAUUUAACACGCCACUAUCAAAUUUAACCUUGAGAAAACUAGAAGGUGGUGGUUCCCAAGUAAAUUAACACAUAUAAGGGAACAAAGAAUCUGCAAUAGGAGAGACACAAUUUUCCCCGACUAUCAAGGAUACCUCAGGGGCAGUGGCAUUAAUGUAUUCUUAUGCUUGACCGACUACUUUCAAGAGAAUGAAUUUAGGAGUCCAACAAUUACUUUGAAAAAUACGGUCAUUUCUAGCCAACCAAAUAUUAUAAGUAAUAUACACCAUCAACACAACCUCUCUACCAUGACGACAUGCACAUGAUCUCUCAUAGAUGGUUUGGAGGAAGGUAUCAAGAGAGAGUGGGAAUAAUGUUUGCAUCAAUAAUAGGGGCCUAUCACCCAAUUUGAUUCUCUAACUUGCAAUGUAAAAUAACGUUUUCUAUUUUAAAGAAAAUAAAUAAUGGCAUAUAUUUUCUUAUGAUAAAGAAAAUAAAUAAUGGUAUAUAUCUCCUUAUGAUAAAGGAAACAAAUCAUGACAUAUAUCUCCUUUUGAUGAAGAAAAUAAAUACCGGCAUAUAAGAAAACAGAUUAUGGCAUAUAUUUAUUUAUGGUGAAGAAAAUAAAUAAUGACAUUCAAGAAAACAAAGCAUGGCACAUAUCUCCAUAUGAUGAAGAAAAUAAAUAAUGGCAUACAAGAAAAUAAAUCAUGAUAUAUAUUGUGCCACACAAUUUUGUAGCAAGUUUUUUUGUAAAGCUAUUAUAUAAGGUACAUAUCUCAUCCUAUCAAGUGUCAUGCUCUUGACAUAUUAUAUCAUCUUUACUUUUUUUUAGGGAUCAUUAUAGAUUACCAGCAUGUGGGAAAACCCAAUUUCACUGAGCCUACCCAUGGUUCAAAAUGCCGCACUUAACCCACCUAAGGUCAGAUCCUUUAGCUUCCAUUCUGCUCCAUUACCCAUUUGUGGUUUGACAUGCGCGAAUUUAUCUUCAGAAAGAGGUCUAGGGCUUAUUUUCAUUGGAUUUUCCUCCCCAAAGCUCCAAAAUGGUGCUUAUUUCUCCAGAUCCAAGCCUUAUUCUCCAAAUCUAAACCUCCUUCCACCAAUCCAAAGUACAAGAAUAAGAAACAACUCUAUCAUGUAAGAUAUAUUUUGCAGUUCUCAUUUCUCAUUUUCAAACUUGUUGAAUUUCUUAAAAAAUCCUUUGAAUAAGGUGAUGUAGAUGUUGUAAUCCAUGUCUUCAAGCUCAUCAUCUGCAAGUAAAUCCAGUAAUAGAUAGAUUUUGUGUAAUUGUGGGGAAGAUCAAUUGUAAGGGCAUCAUGGAUGGUGAAAAAUUUUGGAAGACGACUCUAGGGCUGGUUAUCAGAAAUAAUGAUUAUAAUUAAGGUAGGAUGCAGAACAAGAGCAAAGCAGAUGAAGAAUAUUUUCCCCUUUUGAUUUCAAUUUUGGUGCUUGGGUUGUUCUAUGGAAUGGGGAUGAACUAGAAUUAACAUUUUCAGUAGUGUGGAUCAUUUGAAUAGAUUCAUAUCUCACUUCAAUAUAGGGGUGUGUUCUCCAAAAUGAUGAUACAAUAUCCUUAGUUAAGAGUCAGCAUCCCUCAAAUCUAGUACACGGAAUAUUAUUGGAGGCAUAUAUAGAAGAAACCUAGAGAUGGCCAGUUCAGUACUAUGGAAUCCAAAAAAUUUCAAGUUUGACAGAGAUGCCUAGGCAUGUUAAGAGAUAUCCAUUAGGAAAUCACUCUUCUGAUACAAACAGUUCAAUCUCCUCAAGAAUCCCAAGGGAUGGAUUGCUUCAUCUCUUACUCGUCUCUUCAAGUUCUGACUUUCCAAGUGACUAAGAUUAUGAAGUAUGCUUAGUGAGAAUAGUUUUUCUAAAUCAUCCCUAGUAAGCAAAAUAUGCUAUUCCAAAAUAAUAAUGCACAACAAUAUACAAAUUCCAUGUGUGGUGAGCUUGGUAUUGCUAUGAUUUAAAUAUCUUAAAUUUGUUCCAACAUCUGCAAUUUGUUUGCUGAAAGUAUCAAAAAUCUAUUGAAGUUGAGAUCCAAAUGUUCAAGUUCUUUCAUUAUGACCAAAAAGUGAAUGUUGCAAAUGGACGAGCUAGACAUAUUAAGGAAUGUCAUAUGGUUUACUUCCACAUUGCAAAAUGUUUCAUCAACAUCAUCAAGAGUAGCUCCAAGAAGAGGAAGCUUUACUAAAGAAGCAUUAGCUUUGUAGCCUUCAUAAAUUAUAGAAUGAAUAGUGCAAUUGCUCAUGUUUAAACAUAUAAGCGAAGAAAGAUUUGGGAUGGUAGCCCAUACGAACCCUACCUCAUCCUUCUCGACAACAUCCACAUUGGACGGAGAUGAGAAAUGCUUAGUAGCCUCCUCCACAUCGAUCUUGAAGUACUUCAUGCUGCUCGAAGCUGCCAUCGCUAGCUCUUCUUUGGUUCUUUUCAUUUAUUUCUCUCUUUCUCUCUUUAGUGAAGGAUGGAAAAUGGCGAGGCAACUUUUUCCACUCAUUAGAUAGGGUGGGGCUGAAUGCAUGGAUUGGUUGUUAAAUAAUAAUGGUAACUGAGGGAAGGAAGAGAGGGGAGGUUUUAUAAGAAGAGGAGUGGAGAAGUGGUG